RNAcentral lists this small nucleolar RNA (84 nucleotides) under Tauraco erythrolophus (red-crested turaco). RNAcentral describes it as "Small nucleolar RNA SNORD103/SNORD85". It matches the Rfam family "Small nucleolar RNA SNORD103/SNORD85". From Rfam's summary of the family: This family includes the snoRNAs SNORD103 (U103) and SNORD85 (HBII-251) . Lineage: Eukaryota; Metazoa; Chordata; Aves; Musophagiformes; Musophagidae. The record is from Rfam by way of RNAcentral.
GCUGGCGAUGAUGACACACUUGCCCUCACUGAGAACACUGUUCCAUAAUGAGCCUCACCGUGUGUGCAAACGAGCUGAGCCAGA